This is a transfer RNA of Fistulina hepatica ATCC 64428, 107 nucleotides long. It matches the Rfam family "tRNA". Rfam says of the family: Transfer RNA (tRNA) molecules are approximately 80 nucleotides in length. Their secondary structure includes four short double-helical elements and three loops (D, anti-codon, and T loops). Further hydrogen bonds mediate the characteristic L-shaped molecular structure. tRNAs have two regions of fundamental functional importance: the anti-codon, which is responsible for specific mRNA codon recognition, and the 3' end, to which the tRNAs corresponding amino acid is attached (by aminoacyl-tRNA synthetases). tRNAs cope with the degeneracy of the genetic code in two manners: having more than one tRNA (with a specific anti-codon) for a particular amino acid; and 'wobble' base-pairing, i.e. permitting non-standard base-pairing at the 3rd anti-codon position. Lineage: Eukaryota; Fungi; Basidiomycota; Agaricomycetes; Agaricales; Fistulinaceae. The record is from Rfam.
GGCGAGAUGGCCGAGCGGUCUAAGGCGCCAGACUAAGGAGACCAACCCAUGUGAUGGGUCUUGUAAUCUGGUCUUUCGGGGCGUGGGUUCGAAUCCCACUCUCGUCA